AUUGAACGCUGGCGGCAGGCCUAACACAUGCAAGUCGAGCGGAUGAAGGGAGCUUGCUCCUGGAUUCAGCGGCGGACGGGUGAGUAAUGCCUAGGAAUCUGCCUGGUAGUGGGGGAUAACGUCCGGAAACGAGCGCUAAUACCGCAUACGUCCUGAGGGAGAAAGUUGGGGAUCUUCGGACCUCACGCUAUCAGAUGAGCCUAGGUCGGAUUAGCUAGUUGGUGGGGUAAAGGCCUACCAAGGCGACGAUCCGUAACUGGUCUGAGAGGAUGAUCAGUCACACUGGAACUGAGACACGGUCCAGACUCAUACGGGAGGCAGCAGUGGGGAAUAUUGGACAAUGGGCGAAAGCCUGAUCCAGCCAUGCCGCGUGUGUGAAGAAGGUCUUCGGAUUGUAAAGCACUUUAAGUUGGGAGGAAGGGCAGUAAGUUAAUACCUUGCUGUUUUGACGUUACCAACAGAAUAAGCACCGGCUAACUUCGUG
Molecule: ribosomal RNA, 484 nt
Filed under: uncultured bacterium
Lineage: Bacteria
Description: partial 16S ribosomal RNA
Rfam family: Bacterial small subunit ribosomal RNA
Source: RNAcentral